UCAAGUGAAGAAGCGCAUACGGUGGAUGCCUUGGCAGUCAGAGGCGAUGAAAGACGUGGUAGCCUGCGAAAAGCUUCGGGGAGUCGGCAAACAGACUUUGAUCCGGAGAUCUCUGAAUGGGGGAACCCACCUAGGAUAACCUAGGUAUCUUGUACUGAAUCCAUAGGUGCAAGAGGCGAACCAGGGGAACUGAAACAUCUAAGUACCCUGAGGAAAAGAAAUCAACCGAGAUUCCCUUAGUAGUGGCGAGCGAACGGGGAUUAGCCCUUAAGCUUCAUUGAUUUUAGCGGAACGCUCUGGAAAGUGCGGCCAUAGUGGGUGAUAGCCCCGUACGCGAAAGGAUCUUUGAAGUGAAAUCGAGUAGGACGGAGCACGAGAAACUUUGUCUGAACAUGGGGGGACCAUCCUCCAAGGCUAAAUACUACUGACUGACCGAUAGUGAACCAGUACCGUGAGGGAAAGGCGAAAAGAACCCCGGAGAGGGGAGUGAAAUAGAACCUGAAACCGUAUGCGUACAAGCAGUGGGAGCCUACUUGUUAGGUGACUGCGUACCUUUUGUAUAAUGGGUCAGCGACUUAUAUUCAGUGGCAAGCUUAACCGUAUAGGGUAGGCGUAGCGAAAGCGAGUCUUAAUAGGGCGUUUAGUCGCUGGGUAUAGACCCGAAACCGGGCGAUCUAUCCAUGAGCAGGUUGAAGGUUAGGUAACACUGACUGGAGGACCGAACCCACUCCCGUUGAAAAGGUAGGGGAUGACUUGUGGAUCGGAGUGAAAGGCUAAUCAAGCUCGGAGAUAGCUGGUUCUCCUCGAAAGCUAUUUAGGUAGCGCCUCAUGUAUCACUCUGGGGGGUAGAGCACUGUUUCGGCUAGGGGGUCAUCCCGACUUACCAAACCGAUGCAAACUCCGAAUACCCAGAAGUGCCGAGCAUGGGAGACACACGGCGGGUGCUAACGUCCGUCGUGAAAAGGGAAACAACCCAGACCGCCAGCUAAGGUCCCAAAGUUGUGGUUAAGUGGUAAACGAUGUGGGAAGGCUUAGACAGCUAGGAGGUUGGCUUAGAAGCAGCCAUCCUUUAAAGAAAGCGUAAUAGCUCACUAGUCGAGUCGGCCUGCGCGGAAGAUGUAACGGGGCUCAAACCACACACCGAAGCUGCGGGUGUCACGUAAGUGACGCGGUAGAGGAGCGUUCUGUAAGCCUGUGAAGGUGAGUUGAGAAGCUUGCUGGAGGUAUCAGAAGUGCGAAUGCUGACAUGAGUAACGACAAUGGGUGUGAAAAACACCCACGCCGAAAGACCAAGGGUUCCUGCGCAACGUUAAUCGACGCAGGGUUAGUCGGUUCCUAAGGCGAGGCUGAAAAGCGUAGUCGAUGGGAAACAGGUUAAUAUUCCUGUACUUCUGGUUACUGCGAUGGAGGGACGGAGAAGGCUAGGCCAGCUUGGCGUUGGUUGUCCAAGUUUAAGGUGGUAGGCUGAAAUCUUAGGUAAAUCCGGGGUUUCAAGGCCGAGAGCUGAUGACGAGUCGUCUUUUAGAUGACGAAGUGGUUGAUGCCAUGCUUCCAAGAAAAGCUUCUAAGCUUCAGGUAACCAGGAACCGUACCCCAAACCGACACAGGUGGUCGGGUAGAGAAUACCAAGGCGCUUGAGAGAACUCGGGUGAAGGAACUAGGCAAAAUGGCACCGUAACUUCGGGAGAAGGUGCGCCGGCUAGGGUGAAGGAUUUACUCCGUAAGCUCUGGCUGGUCGAAGAUACCAGGCCGCUGCGACUGUUUAUUAAAAACACAGCACUCUGCAAACACGAAAGUGGACGUAUAGGGUGUGACGCCUGCCCGGUGCCGGAAGGUUAAUUGAUGGGGUUAGCGCAAGCGAAGCUCUUGAUCGAAGCCCCGAAACGGCGGCCGUAACUAUAACGGUCCUAAGGUAGCGAAAUUCCUUGUCGGGUAAGUUCCGACCUGCACGAAUGGCGUAACGAUGGCGGCGCUGUCUCCACCCGAGACUCAGUGAAAUUGAAAUCGCUGUGAAGAUGCAGUGUAUCCGCGGCUAGACGGAAAGACCCCGUGAACCUUUACUGUAGCUUUGCACUGGACUUUGAGCCUGCUUGUGUAGGAUAGGUGGGAGGCUUUGAAGCGUGGACGCCAGUUCGCGUGGAGCCAUCCUUGAAAUACCACCCUGGCAUGCUUGAGGUUCUAACUCUGGUCCGUAAUCCGGAUCGAGGACAGUGUAUGGUGGGCAGUUUGACUGGGGCGGUCUCCUCCUAAAGAGUAACGGAGGAGUACGAAGGUGCGCUCAGACCGGUCGGAAAUCGGUCGUAGAGUAUAAAGGCAAAAGCGCGCUUGACUGCGAGACAGACACGUCGAGCAGGUACGAAAGUAGGUCUUAGUGAUCCGGUGGUUCUGUAUGGAAGGGCCAUCGCUCAACGGAUAAAAGGUACUCCGGGGAUAACAGGCUGAUACCGCCCAAGAGUUCAUAUCGACGGCGGUGUUUGGCACCUCGAUGUCGGCUCAUCACAUCCUGGGGCUGAAGCCGGUCCCAAGGGUAUGGCUGUUCGCCAUUUAAAGUGGUACGCGAGCUGGGUUUAGAACGUCGUGAGACAGUUCGGUCCCUAUCUGCCGUGGACGUUUGAGAUUUGAGAGGGGCUGCUCCUAGUACGAGAGGACCGGAGUGGACGAACCUCUGGUGUUCCGGUUGUCACGCCAGUGGCAUUGCCGGGUAGCUAUGUUCGGAAAAGAUAACCGCUGAAAGCAUCUAAGCGGGAAACUUGCCUCAAGAUGAGAUCUCACUGGGAACUUGAUUCCCCUGAAGGGCCGUCGAAGACUACGACGUUGAUAGGCUGGGUGUGUAAGCGUUGUGAGGCGUUGAGCUAACCAGUACUAAUUGCCCGUGAGGCUUGACCAU
This 2887-nucleotide ribosomal RNA is filed under the name Pseudomonas aeruginosa. RNAcentral's name for it is "23S ribosomal RNA". It matches the Rfam family "Bacterial large subunit ribosomal RNA". Lineage: Bacteria; Pseudomonadati; Pseudomonadota; Gammaproteobacteria; Pseudomonadales; Pseudomonadaceae. The record is from RNAcentral.